GGGCGGGGAGGCUGCUGGGGUUGAAGUGAGCAAAAGAAUGAUGGCCGUGCUUCCGGCCCCGGGCUGAAAUGGGCUAUUAUGUGUCAUCAGGAAACUUAAGAAGGGGGGAAAAAACAACCUCUGAUCAAAGUCCCUUUUGUCAACUUCUAACAGAUUAAUAGAUGACAGAUUUUGCACUUAGAGCUCUACUGCAAGGUCAAGGGCACUGAAAUGGGGCUUGUUGGGACUUUUUUCUUCUUUCGUUCAGCUUCUAGGUUGCAGAACUCAUCAUUCUGACAGCCUGCCUGCCUGAAAUGGCUCGAAGAAGACAUACAUCAAAGCAGUGCCAGUAUCAACUCCUUUGGAAAGCCCAUCUGAGCCCCCUGCCCUGCCCUCCCAGACAAAGGAGGCUCAUCAUCCCCACUUGGCUGUUUACAGAGACCAGCAUGCUGCCCGUCAUGGAACAGGGGCUUCCUGUUACAUAGAGACAGAACUCGUGACUUGCUGCGAACCAACAGGCCAGGAUAAAGAAUGAGAGAUCCUCCUUGCCUGCUUGAUGAAGGCAGCAGCCAUGUUUUGGAAGACACAUAGCGAGGAACAGAAGGUGGGCAGCUCUAGGACAGCCUCCAGCUCCCAGCCAGCAAAAAGCAAGGUCCUUGGUCAUACAGCCUCAAGGAAUGAAUUCAGCCACAACCUGAGUGAGCUUAGAAUUGGAUCCAUCCCAGCUGAGCCUCCCAAUGAGAAUGCAAUCCAGCCAAGACCUUGACUGUGAACCUGUGGGAUCUGACACAGAAGACCCAGCUAAGCUAUUCCUGGUCUCCUGAUCCAUGAAAACUGUGAGAUAAUAAAUGUUUGUGUUGUUUUAAGUUACUACCUUUGAUCUACUCUGCUACUCAGUGGUUAACAAACUGAUAGAUGGCUCUUAAAGACACAUGCUUUGGGAUCUGGAAGUCCCAAGUAAUCUGGGGGAAAUUCAGUUUCACUCUAAUCAGUCAAUGCAUUGGCAGGAAAUUUUUGCCAGCCAACUCAUAGCAAGACUUCAGAACAAGGGCUUGGAGAGUGAAAACGGGGCUAGGCCUGGGGAGAGUGAGAGAGAGGCUUAGAAAAAUGAGAGUCACACAGUCAGACAGGGAACAGGUAGAGCCCUGGGCCUGAAGUCAGGUUCUGGGUUCCAGACUUUGCAGAUGGUUUGCUAGUAGGCUUUGGGCAAAGCAGCCUCUGUCUGGGUCUCUGUGAUCUCAUCUGCAGGCCAAGUGGUAUAAACAGUCUGAGCUCCACAGCUCCCUCUGGCUCUGGCUUUCUCAGUGAAUGGCAAUUCAAGUUUGCCAAGGAACUCUACAGCUUAGAGU
Long non-coding RNA from Bos taurus (domestic cattle), 1328 nucleotides. The record is from Ensembl. NCBI's taxonomy places the organism in Eukaryota, Metazoa, Chordata, Mammalia, Artiodactyla, Bovidae.